AUGGGAGGCUCUUCGGGAGGCCCUGGCCUCGGUGCGUUUUCUGCUGAGCGCGAUGAGGUCACGUGGAGGCUAGAGCCAUCGGGAGGCUUUUCUUCCGGCUCCCUGUAUAAGGAAAUCUUCAAAGCCGUUUAUGACCUGCGUUCACUAUGGAAAGCUAGAAUGCCAGCAAAAAUUAAAAUCUUCUUAUGGCAGCUGGCUAGGAACUGUAUUCCCAGCGGUGACCAGGUACAUAAAAGACACGACCCGGGUGAUGGCAUGUGUGUCUGGUGCAGAGAAGAGGAAACUAGCGGCCACAUAAUCUUCCGAUGCAUUGUGGCGCGGAUGGUGUGGAGCUCACUUAGAGAGGCGACUGGAUGUACUUGGAACCCGAGUGGUUUCGCUGAACUGUAUGGGCUCAUCAUGGCUAGCAGUGCCCAGGAGCGUAAGCUAGCGUGGCUCGGCGUUGGCGCACUUGCUUGGUCUCUUUGGACUACGAGGAACAAAGCUACCAUUGAGGAAAUUUUCUUUAAACAUCCGGCUGAUGUUGUGUAUAAAUUGGUCAUUCUAUUGCAGCUAUGGAAGGGGUUGACGAGACAGCGGGACCGCCCCGGCAUGGAUCGUCUCAUCGACCGAUUGAAGGCCAAGUGUGCUGAGCUUCGGUGUGGCGGAUUGAGGGAUGCAUCGGCAGGCGUGCUGACCUCCUCUGCCCCCUGA
RNAcentral lists this ribosomal RNA (693 nucleotides) under Triticum aestivum (bread wheat). RNAcentral's name for it is "partial small subunit ribosomal RNA". The record is from RNAcentral. Lineage: Eukaryota; Viridiplantae; Streptophyta; Magnoliopsida; Poales; Poaceae.